RNAcentral lists this ribosomal RNA (242 nucleotides) under uncultured bacterium. RNAcentral describes it as "partial 16S ribosomal RNA". It matches the Rfam family "Bacterial small subunit ribosomal RNA", at positions 528 to 769 of the family's 1533-position model. The record is from RNAcentral.
GAAGGUCCGGGCGUUAUCCGGAUUUAUUGGGCGUAAAGCGCUCGUAGGUGGUAUGUCAAGUCAAGGGUGAAAUCCCCGCGCUCAACGUGGGAACUGCCUUUGAAACUGGCACACUGGAGUGUGUGAGAGGAUAGUGGAAUUCCAGGUGUAGGAGUGAAAUCCGUAGAUAUCUGGAGGAACAUCAGUGGCGAAGGCGACUAUCUGGCACAUAACUGACACUGAGGAGCGAAAGCGUGGGUAGC